RNAcentral lists this ribosomal RNA (628 nucleotides) under Microbacteriaceae bacterium Se1Pw_3566. RNAcentral describes it as "bacterial SSU rRNA". It matches the Rfam family "Bacterial small subunit ribosomal RNA", at positions 387 to 1025 of the family's 1533-position model. The record is from RNAcentral. Lineage: Bacteria; Bacillati; Actinomycetota; Actinomycetes; Micrococcales; Microbacteriaceae.
UGCAGCAACGCCGCGUGAGGGACGAAGGCCUUUCGGGUUGUAAACCUCUUUUAGUAGGGAAGAAGCGAAAGUGACGGUACCUGCAGAAAAAGCACCGGCUAACUACGUGCCAGCAGCCGCGGUAAUACGUAGGGUGCAAGCGUUGUCCGGAAUUAUUGGGCGUAAAGAGCUCGUAGGCGGUUUGUCGCGUCUGCUGUGAAAACUGGAGGCUCAACCUCCAGCCUGCAGUGGGUACGGGCAGACUAGAGUGCGGUAGGGGAGAUUGGAAUUCCUGGUGUAGCGGUGGAAUGCGCAGAUAUCAGGAGGAACACCGAUGGCGAAGGCAGAUCUCUGGGCCGUAACUGACGCUGAGGAGCGAAAGCAUGGGGAGCGAACAGGAUUAGAUACCCUGGUAGUCCAUGCCGUAAACGUUGGGAACUAGAUGUAGGGGCCAUUCCACGGUUUCUGUGUCGCAGCUAACGCAUUAAGUUCCCCGCCUGGGGAGUACGGCCGCAAGGCUAAAACUCAAAGGAAUUGACGGGGGCCCGCACAAGCGGCGGAGCAUGCGGAUUAAUUCGAUGCAACGCGAAGAACCUUACCAAGGCUUGACAUAUACCGGAAACGGCUAGAGAUAGUCGCCCCGCAAGGU